RNAcentral lists this non-coding RNA (956 nucleotides) under Cervus nippon hortulorum (Ussuri sika deer). RNAcentral describes it as "12S ribosomal RNA". It matches the Rfam family "Bacterial small subunit ribosomal RNA". Lineage: Eukaryota; Metazoa; Chordata; Mammalia; Artiodactyla; Cervidae. The record is from RNAcentral.
CACAGGUUUGGUCCCAGCCUUCCUAUUGACCCUUAAUAGACUUACACAUGCAAGCAUCCACACCCCAGUGAAAAUGCCCUCCAAGUUAACUAAGACUAAGAGGAGCUGGUAUCAAGCACACAUCCGUAGCUCACGACACCUUGCAUAGCCACACCCCCACGGGAGACAGCAGUGAUAAAAAUUAAGCCAUAAACGAAAGUUUGACUAAGCCAUAUUGAUCAGGGUUGGUAAAUUUCGUGCCAGCCGCCGCGGUCAUACGAUUAACCCAAGUUAAUAGGCAUACGGCGUAAAGCGUGUUAAAGCACUAUACCAAAUAAAGUUAAAUUCCAAUUAAGCUGUAAAAAGCCAUAAUUGCAACAAAAAUAAACAACGAAAGUAACUUUACAGCCGCUGAAACACGAUAGCUAGGACCCAAACUGGGAUUAGAUACCCCACUAUGCCUAGCCUUAAACACAAAUAGUUAUGUAAACAAAACUAUUCGCCAGAGUACUACCGGCAAUAGCUUAAAACUCAAAGGACUUGGCGGUGCUUUAUACCCUUCUAGAGGAGCCUGUUCUAUAAUCGAUAAACCCCGAUAAACCUCACCAUUCCUUGCUACUACAGUCUAUAUACCGCCAUCUUCAGCAAACCCUAAAAAGGUACAAAAGUAAGCACAAUCAUAAUACAUAAAAACGUUAGGUCAAGGUGUAACCUAUGGAACGGAAAGAAAUGGGCUACAUUUUCUAAUCUAAGAAAAUCCAACACGAAAGUUAUUAUGAAACUAAUAACCAAAGGAGGAUUUAGCAGUAAACUAAGAAUAGAGUGCUUAGUUGAAUUAGGCCAUGAAGCACGCACACACCGCCCGUCACCCUCCUCAAGUAGGCACAAUACACUCAAACUUAUUUACACGUAUUAAUCAUAUGAGAGGAGACAAGUCGUAACAAGGUAAGCAUACUGGAAAGUGUGCUUGGAUAAAU